GUACACAAAAAUGCACAUACUGUGAGCUCGAUGAGUAGGGCGGGACACGUGGUAUCCUGUCUGAAUAUGGGGGGACCAUCCUCCAAGGCUAAAUACUCCUGACUGACCGAUAGUGAACCAGUACCGUGAGGGAAAGGCGAAAAGAACCCCGGCGAGGGGAGUGAAAAAGAACCUGAAACCGUGUACGUACAAGCAGUGGGAGCCUCUUAAUGGGGUGACUGCGUACCUUUUGUAUAAUGGGUCAGCGACUUAUAUUCUGUAGCAAGGUUAACCGAAUAGGGGAGCCGAAGGGAAACCGAGUCUUAACUGGGCGUUAAGUUGCAGGGUAUAGACCCGAAACCCGGUGAUCUAGCCAUGGGCAGGUUGAAGGUUGGGUAACACUAACUGGAGGACCGAACCGACUAAUGUUGAAAAAUUAGCGGAUGACUUGUGGCUGGGGGUGAAAGGCCAAUCAAACCGGGAGAUAGCUGGUUCUCCCCGAAAGCUAUUUAGGUAGCGCCUCGUGAAUUCAUCUCCGGGGGUAGAGCACUGUUUCGGCAAGG
Molecule: ribosomal RNA, 542 nt
Filed under: Escherichia coli
Lineage: Bacteria; Pseudomonadati; Pseudomonadota; Gammaproteobacteria; Enterobacterales; Enterobacteriaceae
Description: partial 23S ribosomal RNA
Rfam family: Bacterial large subunit ribosomal RNA
Source: RNAcentral